RNAcentral lists this ribosomal RNA (207 nucleotides) under uncultured bacterium. RNAcentral's name for it is "partial 16S ribosomal RNA". It matches the Rfam family "Bacterial small subunit ribosomal RNA", at positions 568 to 774 of the family's 1533-position model. The record is from RNAcentral.
CGUGUAGGCGGCGAUCUAAGUCGGGUGUGAAAUCCCUCGGCCCAACCGGGGAAUGGCAUUCGAUACUGGAUUGCUUGAGUGCGGUAGGGGCAAGUGGAACUCCAGGUGUAGCGGUGAAAUGCGUAGAUAUUUGGAGGAACGCCGGUGGCGAAAGCGACUUGCUGGACCGCAACUGACGCUGAGGCGCGAAAGCUAGGGGAGCAAACG